AGGGCCUACGGGGGGCAGCAGUGGGGAAUAUUGGGCAAUGGGCGCAAGCCUGACCCAGCAACGCCGCGUGAAGGAAGAAGGCUUUCGGGUUGUAAACUUCUUUUGUCAGGGACGAAGCAAGUGACGGUACCUGACGAAUAAGCCACGGCUAACUACGUGCCAGCAGCCGCGGUAAUACGUAGGUGGCAAGCGUUAUCCGGAUUUACUGGGUGUAAAGGGCGUGUAGGCGGGGAAGCAAGUCAGAUGUGAAAACCACG
RNAcentral lists this ribosomal RNA (257 nucleotides) under uncultured bacterium. RNAcentral describes it as "partial 16S ribosomal RNA". It matches the Rfam family "Bacterial small subunit ribosomal RNA", at positions 334 to 605 of the family's 1533-position model. The record is from RNAcentral.